UACGGAGGGUGCAAGCGUUGUCCGGAAUCACUGGGCGUAAAGGGCGCGUAGGCGGCGCGGUAAGUCGGGUGUGAAAUCUUGGAGCUUAACUCCGAAACUGCAUUCGAUACUGCCGUGCUUGAGGACUGGAGAGGAGACUGGAAUUUACGGUGUAGCGGUGAAAUGCGUAGAUAUCGUAAGGAACACCAGUGGCGAAGGCGGCUCACUGGCCCGGUACUGACGCUGAGGUGCGAAAGCGUGGGGAGCAAACAGG
This 253-nucleotide ribosomal RNA is filed under the name uncultured bacterium. RNAcentral describes it as "partial 16S ribosomal RNA". It matches the Rfam family "Bacterial small subunit ribosomal RNA", at positions 524 to 776 of the family's 1533-position model. The record is from RNAcentral.